This 29-nucleotide non-coding RNA is filed under the name Homo sapiens (human). Lineage: Eukaryota; Metazoa; Chordata; Mammalia; Primates; Hominidae. The record is from RNAcentral.
UGGAAGUGCAAAGUCAAGGUGUUGGCAGG